This 480-nucleotide ribosomal RNA is filed under the name uncultured bacterium. Its description in RNAcentral is "partial 16S ribosomal RNA". It matches the Rfam family "Bacterial small subunit ribosomal RNA", at positions 28 to 523 of the family's 1533-position model. The record is from RNAcentral.
GACGAACGCUGGCGGCGUGCCUAACACAUGCAAGUCGAGCGAGUGAAUCUCCUUCGGGAGUGAAGCUAGCGGCGGACGGGUGAGUAACACGUGGGCAACCUGCCUCAUAGAGGGGAAUAGCCUUUCGAAAGGAAGAUUAAUACCGCAUAAGAUUGUAGCUUCGCAUGAAGUAGCAAUUAAAGGAGCAAUCCGCUAUGAGAUGGGCCCGCGGCACAUUAGCUAGUUGGUGAGGUAACGGCCCACCAAGGCAACGAUGCGUAGCCGACCUAAGAGGGUGAUCGGCCACAUUGGGACUGAGACACGGCCCAGACUCCUACGGGAGGCAGCAGUGGGGAAUAUUGCACAAUGGGGGAAACCCUGAUGCAGCAACGCCGCGUGAGUGAUGACGGCCUUCGGGUUGUAAAGCUCUGUCUUCAGGGACGAUAAUGACGGUACCUGAGGAGGAAGCCACGGCUAACUACGUGCCAGCCGCCGCAGUAA